RNAcentral lists this ribosomal RNA (253 nucleotides) under uncultured bacterium. RNAcentral's name for it is "partial 16S ribosomal RNA". It matches the Rfam family "Bacterial small subunit ribosomal RNA", at positions 524 to 776 of the family's 1533-position model. The record is from RNAcentral.
UACAGAGGUCUCAAGCGUUGUUCGGAUUCAUUGGGCGUAAAGGGUGCGUAGGUGGCGCCGUAAGUCAGGUGUGAAAUCUCGGGGCUCAACCCCGAAACUGCACUUGAUACUGCGGUGCUCGAGUACUGGAGAGGAGAUUGGAAUUUACGGUGUAGCAGUGAAAUGCGUAGAUAUCGUGAGGAACACCUGUGGCGAAAGCGGCGCACUGGACCACAACUGACGCUGAGGCGCGAAAGCUAGGGGAGCAAACAGG